GAACUAAAACAUUCAUCAAGGGACGCGGGUGGCGCUGUGGGUAAAACCUCAGUGCCUAGGACUUGCCGAUCGUAUGGUUGGCGGUUCAAAUCCCCACGGCGGGGUGAGCUCCCAUUGCUCGGUCCCAGCUCCUGCCAACCUAGCAGUUCGAAAGCACUCUUAAAUGCAAGUAGAUAAAUAGGUACCGCUUCAUAGCAGGAAGGUAAACGGCGUUUCCGUGUGCUGCGCUGGUGCAGGCUCGCCAGAGCAGCUUCGUCACGCUGGCCACGUGACCCGGAAGUGUCUCCGGACAGCGCUGGCCCCCGGCCUCUUAAGCGAGAUGGGCGCGCAACCCCAGAGUCGGUCACGACUGGCCCUUUACCUUUACCUUUAAAACAUUCAUCUGGAUGAACUUGAACUGAACAAUAUGGCUCCAUCAGAUUCAGAGCAUGAGACUCUGAAUCUCAGGAUUGUGGGUUUGAGCCCCACUUGGGGCAAAACAAUUCCUGCAUUGUAGGGGAUUGGAUAGAGACCCUGAGACCUGUGGGUAUAGGGCAGUAAACAAAUUUAAAUAAAUACAGUACAAUCCAAUCCAAUCCAAUACCCUUGUGGUCCCUUCAAACUCUCCAAUUCUAUGAUCCCAUGAUUUUGUAAAAGCACAAAACUGCACUAGUUUGUUUAAAAAUAAACACUCCAAGCUAGUGGUUUUUGGGGCAGACAUAUUCUGCAACAUGUAACUUACACAGUAAUCAUUGUUGGAUUUAUACUGUAUCAUUCUGCUAUACCUCGGUUUUUGAGAGUCUCAGAAGCUGAAUGUUUCGGUUUUUGAAUGCUGAAAGCUGAACGGCUUUCGCUAUGUAUUUUUCAGUUUUUCCAGUUGAACUUGCAGCAAGUCCUUUGCACCUCAGUUUCUGAACGUUUUGGAUAUUGAACAGUCUUCCGGAACAUAUUACAUUCGAGAACCAAGGUACCACUGUAUUAGUUGUCCUGCAAUGCCUCCCCUGGGUUCCUGUGUAGUAUGGCUGUCUGGAGGGUCACUCUUGUCACCACACCGGUCCUGAAAGACCUAUAUUGGCUCCCAGUACGUUUCCAGGCACAAUUCAAAGUGUUGGUCCUGACCUUUAAAGCCCUAAACGACCUCAGCCCAGUAUCCCUGAAGGCGUGUCUCCACCCCCAUCGUUCAGCCCGGACAUUGAGGUCCAACUCCAAGGGCCUUCUGGCGGUUCCCUCACUACAAGAAGCGAAGUUACAGGGAACCAGGUACACGGCCUUCUCAGUAGUGGCACCCACCCUGUGGAACACCCUCCCGUCAAGGAAAUAAAAAACUAUCUGACUUUUAGAAGACAUCUGAAGGCAGCCCUGAUUAGGGGAGUUUUAAUAUUUGAUGAAUUAUUGUAUUUCAAUAUUUUGCUCGCAAAACCUAGCCAGAUGGGUGAGGUAUAAAUCAUAAAUUGUUGUUGUUGUUGUUGUUGUUGUUGUUGUUGUUGUGCUAUAGGGCAACAAAAGCAGGCCACUCACACACACACACACACAAAACAUUUGUGAUAUAAGAAGUUUCAAGGGUUCAGCAGGAACUUAUGGGACAUGCAGAGGCCAGAAGCAACACGUCCCCCAUGAAACUUUUGCAGAUGCUAGUAGCAUCGAAAGCAGGAUCACAUACAUCUGCUCCAGUACCACUGUGAGCACACAACAAAAAAAGAGCAUCUGGAGGACCCUGGCAUAGACAGGAAAACACAUUUGGCCAGGCUUGACAGCAAUGCAAGGCCUAGCCCCCUGCCUAAGAAGCAAUCAGAGGUUCGCAAUGUUAGGAAACAUUAGCAGAAUGUUAAUAGAAUAGCAAACUGCGUUGCACAUUUUGACUAUUUAUAGAGCAGUGAUCCCUGCUGCUACAUUAUUAUCAUUAGAUCAUUUACUACUGGUAAUUUAGAAUCUCAUUCUCCUCCCCCGCCCCCCCUUCAAAAGCUUGAAUUGAAAUAAUUGAGCAACCGUGCCAAACUAAAGAACUAGGAGAGAGAAUAAGGCAAGAUUCUAUAAAGAACAUUAUCCCCCAAGGACACCUAGUGGUGGAGAGAUGCUGUGUCUAAGCUUAAGACCUACUAGGGUUUUAAACAAGAGUUUCUGGAGCGGUGGUAGCAAUAGAACGGUGCUCAGAACUGAGUCAGGUAUUGAACCUAGUAGCAGUUCUGUGGACUCAUUCAAUGUUAUGGACACUUUAUCAGUGUGGAGGGGAAAUGGGCCUUUUUGCAAGCGUGACCGUCGUCACGUGGACCAAAGUUGUCGAACUUUUUUUUGCUGGUUUCCACCUGGACACUGCUACCGACUGCAGUGUUCCGGGUAUGUCUGGGAAAUUCCAGACACAUGGCAACCCUAGGCACAGUAUUGGAAAAACUGAAGGCAUCACACAAUUGAUGCAUGUACCAGCUUCAUCAUCCAUCUCUCCGCAAUUUGCCUAGCACAGGUGUGCUUGGAAAGCAGGUCUGGGCUGCAGUUCUGCUGUAAGUUCAGAGAAUGCCUUCGGGGAAAUCACUUCUCCGCUUAGCGUCAGCUUUCCCACCUGUGAAAUGGGAAUAAUUUAUCUCACCUGCAUAUCGUGCAAGAUCAAAAAUAAUAAAAGAGUUUUUAGUGAUAAGUUUCCAUAGUGCUGUGGUGGGCAACCUAGUCCCCCUCCAGAUGUUCUGAACUCUUAACUCCCAUCAUCUACCAUGGAUGCUUUAGUUGAGAUUCCUGCAUUGCACGGGGUUGGACUAGAUGACCCCUGGGUUCCCCUCCAAAUCUACAGUUCUAUGAUUCUAUGAUCAGCCCCAGCCAGAGAGUCCAAUGGUGAGGGAUGGUGGAAGUUGGAGUCCAGCAGGCCAUGCAUUGUCAGCUGGGGACUCCAUUAAGAGAACCUGAAAUCUGCAACUCGCUUGCUCCAGAGCAGCCGCCACCUGCAAAUAAACAGUCCUUGGGAUAUGGACUAGCACGUACCUCCUUUGUGUACGACUGUAUUCACCUGUGCAAACAUUUUACUUA
RNAcentral lists this long non-coding RNA (2991 nucleotides) under Podarcis lilfordi (Lilford's wall lizard). The stretch from base 407 to 469 matches the Rfam family "tRNA", at positions 7 to 64 of the family's 71-position model. The record is from RNAcentral. Lineage: Eukaryota; Metazoa; Chordata; Lepidosauria; Squamata; Lacertidae.